CCUGGUGGUCUAGUGGUUAAGAUUGAGCAUUCUCACUGCCAAGGCCCGGGUUCGUUUCCUGGCCAGG
This 67-nucleotide transfer RNA is filed under the name Equus caballus (horse). It matches the Rfam family "tRNA". From Rfam's summary of the family: Transfer RNA (tRNA) molecules are approximately 80 nucleotides in length. Their secondary structure includes four short double-helical elements and three loops (D, anti-codon, and T loops). The record is from Rfam by way of RNAcentral. Lineage: Eukaryota; Metazoa; Chordata; Mammalia; Perissodactyla; Equidae.